RNAcentral lists this ribosomal RNA (431 nucleotides) under uncultured eukaryote. RNAcentral's name for it is "bacterial SSU rRNA". It matches the Rfam family "Eukaryotic small subunit ribosomal RNA", at positions 416 to 879 of the family's 1831-position model. The record is from RNAcentral.
CUAAGGAAGGCAGCAGGCGCGUAAUUACCCAAUCCUAAUACGGGGAGGUAGUGACAAGAAAUAUUGAUAUUGGACCCAAAGGGUACAAUGAUUGAAAUGAGAACAAUAUAAAAAACUUAACGACUAACAAUUGGAGGGCAAGUCUGGUGCCAGCAGCCGCGGUAAUUCCAGCUCCAAGAGUGUAUAUUAAAGUUGUUGCGGUUAAAAAGCUCGUAGUUGAAUUUCUGAAAAUAAUCUUGUGAUUGAUUUAACCGUCAUGAACAAAAAUUGUUUACAUACUUGAUAGAUGGAAACAUUUAUCUUAAUGACUUUGAAAAAAUUAGAGUGUUCAAAGCAUGAUUCACAUUUGAAUAAUACAGCAUGGGAUAAUAUAAUAUGACAUUAGUUAAAAUUUGUUGGUUUCUUUGGCUAAUGUAAUGAUUAAAAGGGAC